Molecule: long non-coding RNA, 17546 nt
Filed under: Musa acuminata (dwarf banana)
Lineage: Eukaryota; Viridiplantae; Streptophyta; Magnoliopsida; Zingiberales; Musaceae
Description: long non-coding RNA (MACU_LNC007997)
Source: RNAcentral
ACCAGUUCCUAGGUGUACUCAAUGAAACAAGCAAGGCAAGGUAGCACUCCAAUCUACGAGCUACUGCAAAUAGCAUAGCACUCCUUUGCUUUUGAAUCGAAAUAGUAAGUCUAAGCACCCGAACAAAACUCAACGAAACUUAUCGCUUAAGAUCCGCCAAACUCACUCACUAACGUACAAGUAUGAGUAAGCGUCCUGAACAACAAUAAGCUUAGCGCAACGCCUUGCUGAUUGUGAGUCUCAUGCACCCAAAAUUCUAUAAGAGCAUAACUUGGCUAUAAGAGCAUAACUUGGAGACCCAAUAAUAGACUAUUUUGCUUUACGAGGUUCUUUCCUUCUUUCUGGUGUUCCUUGAGACUCAACCUACGCAGGAACAAGUCAUCAAGUGAAAGGACUGGGAACAAGCAACUACUUAGAAAGUGACCUAUUCUUCGCUAUUAGUGAUACUAUUAGUUAUACUAUAUUCUGGAAUUACCUACUAUGCAACUAAACUCGCAUUGCCAAGUCCUGUGUUCAUAGCCGUAGUAAACAAAUUCCAUCAUUCUUUAUAUUGCUCUUGUCGUCUUGGCUGUUGGCUCGGUGCUAAUGGAAGUUUACAAUUAAGUCUACGAUGGAAGUUUCGUUGGGCUUUUCUCUAUCCUAUUAAGAAUCAGAGGUGUUGCAGUUCAGUUGCUUGGCAGGAGUUAGUUCGGCAAGUAAUAGGUAUAUCAGCAGAGUUAGCAUCAGUGUAAUCUUGUCUAGUAUAUGCUUGGUUGACGACAGUUUAUCCACUACAAACAAGAGAAAGCUUUCAAAUAGGCCAUUCUAUUUUCAAAGUCAAGAUGAUAGGCGUAAAGCUGUUAGUUACGAAGCGGGAAUAUCCGUUUUCUCAGAAGCGGGAAGUGGUGUUUCAAAGGGGAGUUCGACUCAAAUCCAACAAGCAGACUAGAAAGAAUGCAAUGACAACUGGAAUGGAUAGAAUUGAACCAGUACUAGUUAAGAUCGAAUCACUGUUGACAAGAACGGAACAGACAAAAGAAAGACUAAAAGUACCCAUCCACAGAGUAGAAUUAUGGUAGCGAGGCUUUACUACUAUUUAGAAGAAUGAGUUGAUGCAUCAGUGAACUAAACUAGAAACUAUAGUACCCGACCCACACCUAAAUUAUGAAAAACCCCAAGCCCCGACUUGUAGCUCAAGCACCGACUUAUAGCUAUAGUACCUCACUCCUAUUAUGAUUUAUUUGAAACGGAUCUAGUCUAUGAGUUAGAGUAUCCCUUUCCCUACUUAGACUCUUUAACUGCUGAACAUGGAUCUGACUCCCCGCUCUCAACACCUUACUAGUUACUGGCAUCCUCGCUUCUUGGCUUGUAAGUCUACUUCUACUUUCUGCAAAUCUUAUAUUCCUAUCUUUUUCUAUUUUUCUUGUUUUUACUUACUUCUAUUCUGUUAUUUGUUAUUUCCUAACUAUACCUUGAACAUUGGAUGAAACUAGAGCACCCAACUAUUAACUAUAGCACCGAACUAUUACUUGCAUUAUUACUGAUUCUAGAAAACAUAUAUCUUGACUCUAACCUGGCAUACACGCCUUAGCCCUCUAGAAAACCUAGUGAUAUUGAACUCAAUUCUGAACAUUCAUAUAUAAUAAACACGGAUUUGGAUCCUGACUUGAAAACGGAAACAGGAACAGCGGAUUCUUCCACGAAUACUUAGAGGAAACAGAGGAAACCCAUACUCAACAACGGAGCAACUUGAUCCAGCGUGAAGUGAGAAACAUCUAGUUGUUUACUUAAUGUCAUUGUGAGAUCAGUAGUGCAUCGAUCGCAGACGAAGGCACGGGCGCAACAGUAGAGCUGUGUAGGGAAACUCGUUCUGAAAGUGGUGUCGCGCAUUCCACCACCCAUUGGCGAAACAACGGGCGACCCGGGCUAUUAUAGCUCAUUCAUAGCAUCGGGCGACUGAACCACACCGGCACAAACAUCAUAGAUAAAAGAAAGAAUAACAAAAGCAGUUUUGUGCUAAAAAAGAGAGAAAAGAAGAGCUGUUUUUCGACUAAAAGAGUGUAGUGGUAGCGAGUUCAUCAGCACAGCACUAGUUGCCUAUGUAGUUGCUAAGGUUCACUUGGCCUGUUCCACUAAAGGGAUAAGAGAGAUUGAUUCAUUUACUGUUUUCCUCUGCGCUAACGGGAGCAGCAAGUGUAGUUCCUGUGUUACCGACGAAAGAAAAGAAAGAUUCUCAGAAGGAGUAUGAGCUGGAUCAUCAGCAGGAGUAGAUAAAUAGUCAAGAAAGUGAGUAGCAGAAUGUCCAAUUCCUGUUAGUUAUGUUGCUUAUUCGUUUCGCAUACUUGUUUCUCUGGCUUGUUCCUUCACUCUCCUUUCUUGGCACUUAACUCAUUAGUGAAACUCAUUAGUGAAGUUGUCAAUUCCAUUAUUUUAGUCAGAAACUCCAUUCUACCAGUCCUUUCACCUGGCCUACCAGUCCUUGAGCUUAACCCUGCCCCCUUAUAGUCAAGAAUUUCAUUGAACCUAUGGAGCACCCGGCUGAUGCUCUUUAUUAUGAUGGAUCUUCCGCUUGGGCCUCCGAUUCCUUACCCGCUCUUGAAACAACUUCUUUAUAAGAUGAUGAAACUGGGUAAGGGACUGCCGCGUAACUGACGUAGUUACUUGGCCGGGUCGGUAUUCCACUCAUUCUACUAGUCGUUGCUUGGCCCUUUGUAGCAGUAGCUUGGCCCUCUUUUCUUCUUCUUUAUUUGCCUCUAUUUUCUUACCAUAGAUGACAUAAAACUCUUUGUGGCUUACUUGGAACUCAAUUCUAUUAUAGAUAGACAGCAGCCGCCCACUACCCUUAUUUCUUCUCUUCUGAUUCCUACCCUUAUUUCUUCUCUUCUGAUUCUCUAUUCUCUGACUUGAUUCUUAUUGGAUUUUCUAUUCUCUGAUAAGUGCUUCCUGUAUCCGCUGGUAAGGAGCAGCUUUCCUAGAAAGAGUCCCGAAGUGCUUAUUCCUGGAAACGUCUAGCCGUUUAUCUAUGUAGUAAAGAAUACUUUUGGAUUUCAUAUCAAAUAGUCUCUUAGAAAACCAACUCCCUUUCCACUCUCUGAACUUUGACUUGCCAUGUCCUUCCUUAUAAUAGAACUGUCCUCUUUUCUUGGGGAAGUGCUGUAUCUGCCAGAAAGCUGCCAUCUUGUCUGAUGUCCUCUUGUUCUUUUCCAAGGAUUGCUUCGAAGGUGGGAGCCGGCUACUGGAUCUUUUAGUGUAGUUAGUAGUCGCCCUUCCCUCGAUUCAUAGACCAUGUCACCCAACUCCAAUUAUCCAAGAAGUGAUUUCGGUUAAAACGCCAUGCGACUUUGAGUAUAUAUGGAUCUUAUUUGAUUCGAAUGGAAAGACGGAGACCAAACCAAAACUCGUAAUAGAACCGGGAGCUUGAAUAAGAGCUCCUCAUAGUGGUAAGAACCUUUUACUAGGAUUGAUUCGGAUCCCGAGGGGCCUCUACAGGCGAAAGCAAAUAGUGAAGUAUAACCUGAUGCUCCGAUCGAAAACGAAUCCGUGGGGCCAUGCCGGGACGACGUCUGGGAUAUUAGUCUUUUGCCUCUUUCUCUUUCUGUCUCUGUUUCUGGUUGGAUUGAUGAGAAAAUAGAAUCCUGGGCCAACUCGAUCCCGAGGAAUGUUACCCUUUGAGCGGGUUCUUUCUGCUGAUCUUUCCUCCGUCGAUAAAAGAUCUUCUGAUAAGACUGACCCCGCAAACUUGUAAUUGAACCACUGAUCUCACAUCUGUAUUUGCUAUCACAUCUGUAUUUGCCCCCGGCACUACUGUUUUGAAUUGGACCCUUGCUCGCCUGUUAAAGAAACCAACUACUGCGGAUGAGACUGCUACAAUUACCUAUUGGUCUAUACCCUGGCUUACUGAAAUUCCUAAACUAUUGACUUGCAACCUAGCUUCUUAGCUGAGUGCGCUAACAUUCCUUUAUCUUAGCCCCAACCAAAAGGGAGUCUGGUAUAAGUAUGAGUUUUCAACGGGAGAGCUCCAAACAAGGAUCGGUAGACUUCACCUAGCAAGCGAGGAUCUUGUUAAAGUCCCUAUUCCGAGUCCAAUUAAGAUUAGGUUCUGUGCUCUUGUUUCAGCAUUGUCAGCAUAGGUGUAUUCUCUAUCCUCUAUUAGUGUUGUUAGUGGAAUACCGGUAGUACUAGCUUACUUCUAGUAGUUGUAGCCAGAGGUAUAGUAGCAAGAGUUAUAUGAGCCAGAGUCGAGGGAGAUAAGAAAGCAGCUUGUUUAGAUGAGCCAUAGGUAUAGGAUUUCAGAGUUUAGGGAUGUAGGAAGAGAGGUAUACCUCAUGAAGUUACUAGUUGCCAGCUGCUUGGCUUGUGGAAUUCCUAUACAAAGAAAGAAACUACUAGCUUGCCCUGUUCGUCAACUCCAAAGUGAGAAUGAAACCAGUGAGUCAAAGAAUGAAGCGAAGCAAGGAGGAAUUAGAUCCAGCAGUUCAAGAUGUUAGGAAGAAAUGACUUAUAAGGACAGUUUCUUAGGUUUAAUGGGAAAUCCAAUUCAAAACGGGGCACAGAUGAGCGGCCCUUAAGUUCCUAUAGCUCACGCGCCUAACUAGGCUUGGUCAUUAGUAGUUGCUUGGCCAUUUGUACUACAGGGCACAGGAAUACUUGUUUAGUCGUAGCUUGGCGGGAGUCCACGGAAACAGCUUCCUUACCUGCGCCAACUCAGGAUCUAGAUCUUUUCCACUCACUCGCUUCCCGCUUCUAAGCCCUUACGUGCACAGCCUCUGAUCCUUAUCCUUACUUUUCAUCAUCUACUAUUGGCUCUUCAUCACUUCUUAUUGCUGGCUCUUAAGCUCUUCUUAUUGCUGGCUCUUAAGCUCUUCUUAUUGCUUACCUUGGACAUAUCGUAUCGUCCGAAUUCUUUCAAUCCUACCCGGACAAGGAAGGAAUAAAGGCAAGGAGCUGAGAGCCUUUCAUGAAAAACAAGACCUUACCAGCUUGACCUAAUAGAGCGGGCAACUCGCUAGCUUCUUUUCUUGCGGAAUUUCUUAGUAACUGAAUUCGAAAGUGCAUCUCUGAAUCUUCCUAGCAUACCAAAAUGAACCGAAAGGAAAUCCGCUAUUGAACAACAUAUUCCGGCCGGCCCUCGUAGCUCUCUCUUUCUCUGUAGCAAUAUGGAUUAUGCCCUUCGUCUCAUAUAUUCUUUUUUAUGAAUAGAAGGAGAUUGUGAAUCAGUUGAAUUAGGUUUCGUAAAGUCAAGAUUGACCUUCUUUUUGAUACAGAAGAAGCUGUGAUCACUAUACUACAUUCUGGUUCUAGACCAAUAGAAUCAAAGAAACUGCUCUUUUUCACGCUACUUCGCAGCUAAUUCAUUCAUCCACAUCUGUAUCGCCUGCGAAUCCUUUUUCCAGCAAAGAGAAACACUUCUAGGCAUCAAUGCUAUAACUCCUGGCAAGAUCCGAGACGAUUCCAUUGACUUCAUUCUAACAGACUAUUUUGGGCAUAUCGCUCUACUGGACUUCUUCUUCCUAAGAUCAGUAGGCUUUACAAGGAUGCUCGUUUUUCUACAUGGGAGUACAUCCAAUAGGAAGCUUACACACACAUAGACUAGCCACACAACUAAACACAACAUUACAAAGUGAACUAACAACAUCUUAAGUUAACAAAAGACAUAGAACAUCAUGAAACAUAAGAAAGAAAAGCCAUGCAUUAAAACACACUACUUUGCUAAGACGGAAUACUUAUGGAAAUCUUAUGGAAAGAGUCGACGGACUGACUCUUCUAGUCUCCCUAGUGGAUCGGUGACCUAGGGUGACAGCCCGCACAAUGAGCGCUUGCUGUUCUGUAUUUGGUUUUGUAGAGAUAAAGCGCAUAUAAUCUUAUAUGAGAAUUCUCUCUAUAGCUGGGAAAUGUUCCCAGACCCAGCCUUUGCUCGCAUUUGAGCUUAUCGUUUUAUACCUUACUGAUUGAUUGCUCAAGGCUUUCCCGUCAGUUCGAGAUAUCCAUGUCUACUCAGACCCUAACUCUUGCUUUCCUCGCCUGAAGUCUUUAUCUCACCCUAACUCUUGCUUUCCUCGCCUGAAGUCUUUAUAUCUUUGCCUUGAGUCUACCGCGGCUAACUCGAAUACUGUUACAGCUGUCAGUAAGUCUGCCACUGCUGUCCCUAUUUCUUUAGCUACUGCCAAUAAUCAAAGAACUACUCAUUUUCAUGCUUUAUCCUAUGAUAGGGAAUCGAGCUGAGUAGACCAAGGCGGAAUAAGCCCACAAAGCUACUUAGGGUAAUCCAACUAAAUAUGUAUUUCCACCUAUUAUUUUCUAUGACUUGCUUUGAGUCUACCGAUACUAACCAGCAACCCUUACUGGCCUAUAAGCCCGCCCUUGCUUGAAACCUAUGCCCACCGAUCCUAAUUCCUAUUCUCUUGUGUUAGCCCGCUACUCCUUGAUCGAAAUCUGAUUUGACUGACCUUAAAGCUGUCUUUACUUCUUUUCAUUAUGAAAUUAGGUAGUUAGUGUUCUUCUAAGAAUGCAACCAUAAUGCAACCAUUAAUGAACUUCUCUUAUAUUAACAGUCGUUUUUCGAGUCUCCUUACUUCAUUUCAGUCGUUUUCAUAGUCUCCUUACUUAUUUAGUAGAAUACCUCAAUAUUGCACUACAGAAUUGACACCACAGCCAACAAUAUGGAACUAGUACCGGGAAGAAUCUAACCCGGGGCUAAGAGACUUUAACAACUACCUAGAAGACUUGACACAGCUUACUGGGAAUUCACUAUAACCUGAGAAUACUUUUACUUGGAAACUUUGAACUCGGGCUGAAACACUGACAUAUAGGAUCAUACUUGCAUCCCGUCUUCUAGCCUUACAUUACUUAUCUCGUUCUUUAACAGCUUACCUGGCAUUUCCGAUCUCAAAACUCCUUAGCUCUUGGUUGAGUAUGCCAAUCCCGGAAUUCUGAAACUAGUAAUAGCAAGACCUAUACAGCUACUUAUCAUAUAGAUACUCAAAACAAAGAAACCAACUACCACUUGAAAACUAGAAACUUGGAAUACGAACACCGGGGCAGCUAGCCUUAUUUGACUAUCCUCUGAGCCUUGCCUUAUUGUAUAUAAGAGUAGAGCUGGGGCUAAAAAGACCUUCCCUAACUGCGGAAUAGGAAGAACACCAAUACUACUAAGAAUAGAAUCUGGUCCCUUAGCUCGUUGUUGGCAUGCAAGAACCGAACCCAUGCAAAUAAUAAUUGAAACCCGUGCUCAUAAUAAUGGAAAUAGGAACAAGGACAAAAGGGAUACAAGCGCUGAUAACAAGGCUUUUUCACUAUUUCAAAGAGUGUAGCGGUAUUCCAAUAAACUAACCAUCUUGACUACCCCUACGCGCUUUAAGUCUCCUAUUACCUCCUUCUUCCCUGGCUAUUGGUAUUACUGCCCUAACUUCCUGUUUGGUAUUUGUCCCUGGCAGCCUUGCUUUUGGCCUGUAACUAACUUAUACCAUUAGUAAACUACAUUACUUUAAGUCUAUAACUAACUAACUCAACCGUAACUACUACUUACUAGGACCGAUUGCUAGCCUAUCUUUGCUUUCUCCUAAACUUAUACUGCUAUCGAUAAGAAUUUGAACUAGCGCACUAAGAGUGGAGAGAGACGCGCCCAAACAUAUAAGCAUUGAUUGAGACAACAGGUGAUCUAACUAUUACUACUAGCGGAAUGAAACAAAGAGGUAAGAUUGACUACCUACCUUAUAAGACUUAACUGCGCGUGUGAGGUCCGGAACUCCACUCCAUUCUACUAUAGAACCAACGUUAGCCGAAAACCGCAAGCAUUAUAUAGCAUCAACAGCUUUCAGGAACGAGCUCCUUUACCACACUCAGUAGACUCGGGAUCAUGUUGGGCACCUUCUCGGAUGUCGCCCUUGGAACUUACAGAACCAAGAUUUCUCAAUUCUAUCAAUACCAUCAACAAGCAAGUGAUAGAGAGAUGAGUCAGGAAGCUAUGCUCUGUAACAUUCAAUACCAUAAAAAAGCAAGUGCAAGAUAGAUGAGUUUAGAAGCCAAAGGGAAGCAGUGUGUUUCCUUUCUUAUAUGAGUGAGAUGCCCAUUAGUCCAAAAUCCAUUACUGAGUAUGGGGGGCGCUAACAUAGUUUUACGGAAGGGAUACAGUGCAGAGUAUAGAACAAGUCAUUAUGGAAUCUUAGGAGUAACUCGUUAAUGGGAGCUCUGCGCUCGCAAGUCCUGUUGCUUGUGUCCAAGGGUUUUCUAUCAACCAGUUUAGCCUUAGCGAGUUUAGCAUAAUAUAAGUCAGAGAAAUUCAUUAUUGGAAGUAUUUGUAGCUUCAGCGUUAGCGUUAAGUAUUUCCAGUUUUCAGUGAGUUUACAACCGAGUCUAGUAUCCUUGGCAAAGAUGCAUCUAAAGGACAUAGGCAUUAGGCACCCGCCCCGAACUCUAUUACAAGGGAAAGGAAAGGCAGACAAGCAACUACGAAUUGAGUAAAGACACAGUCGUUCUUUUUCCUCAGUUAGGUCUUCCCCUUGUUUCUAUCCUUAAUAAUAGUGGAAUCCAUAACACUUACGCUGCUUCUUGUUGAAAGGUAGUCCAAUUCCGAUUCUUUAGAGGCAGACUCAGAACUCGGCCGCUAACACUUCUUGUUGUUGUUGCGGGAUAAGGUUAGGCAGAUAAGAAUAAGAGGGAAGAGGCGGGGUGUAAUAGAAUAAGUCACUAACCACUCCUGGGACGGAUGCGGAUUCUAGACUUGUAAUAACCAUGCGCUUGUUGCUAACGCCAUAAAGACAGGACUCGUGGAGCCUAUAAUACCGACAGACACAUUAUUCUUUUGUGCCUCUUCUUGCCUAGUAGACCCCUUACCCUCGCUGAUCACUUAGUCUUGGUGGAGUCCCGAGUCAACCCUUGACUUAUUAGUAGAAUUCUGACGAUCACCUAAAUUCUUAAAGGAAAGGAAGGAGUCACUAACUUGUCUAUAAGGGCAAGCCGACAAGCUACUCUGUUACUUACUUGUUCCAUUCUGAUAUCUCUAUCUCUAUAUGCCCUAUUGUGGUAAGUAAACUAUAUGUAUUAUGACCCUAGUUGUUUUCUUAUCGGCUUCGGCGGAUUCUCUUGUGAAACAGCUGAUUCCCUUUCGGAUUCCCCUUGAAAACAGUACUUGAAGACAACAAUAAGCACUUACCGGUGAAGAAAGAUAUUAUCACUGCAAAAGCUAAUGCUGCCCUUAAGUAAUUGGUCGCUACUUACUACUAAGCUUUCCCCGAGUAUCAAUGAGUGUUUCCCCAUAAGAAAGAGGAGUUGACCCGAGUUAGAGAUUGUGCCCUUUUUACUGGGAAAGAAGCCUUAUUGAAGCGCGUAAGCUUAAAUGACUAUAGUUAGUGGCGGGCGUGAGCUUUGAAAAGAAGAUAUGGUUCCACCUUUCUGAAUAUAGAACUUUCAUAUAGAACAAAUUAUUGUGUAAGUAUAGCAAAGGUGCGUGCUCGGCUUUCCCUUGUAGUGGUCCAAGCAUCAAAGUGAAGUGAGGAUGCGGUCGCUCUUUCUGUCGUAUAACAAAGAAUGCGACGCCCACUAUGCGCUUAAGGGCAUAAGAUAGUCAAGGCAAGUAAGCUAUAAGUCCUUCUUGUAUUUCUGCAGUAUAAUCAUAUAAGGGAGUUUAGUAUAGAAUUAAGUAAUAUUCCUAGUCAUAAGUUCGAGUUGACGACUUGUUCUUUCUGGAAACUCGUAUUCCGUACUUACCUUACCAUCACCAACAAACACUAGUCCUGCAACAGAUCCGUCACCUGAUCAGAAAACAAACUUAGUAUGAUCUUUAUCUUGUUUCUGCGCCCCAACUUCUUAUCCUUAUUUUGAUUCCUCGACCCGACCUCUCUAUACUGGAGGAAUUGUUUGCUCACUGGCUUUUAACAACACCGCUACUAGUUGGGGAUUCUGAAAGAUCUGAUAUCGUAGCCAACACAGAGGAAACUCGAACAGCUUCUAUAUACGCCAACUAAGGUAAAGUUCACAAAAAAGAAUAGCAUACGCCCUAACUAAGGUAAAGUUCCAAAAAAGAAGAGUUGCUGGGCUGGGCGCUAUCACUACAAAGGAAAGUGCCAAUCAAUCACCUAAACCUACUCUCCACUUAGUACGAGCACCCAAAGCAAAGAGACGAAUAUGAAAUGGGGGGAUGCAGAACGAGUAUGAAGUACAGAGCAGAUGCGCGAUUCCCUUGCUGGUUCCUAAGCUAGUUUCCUAGGCCUAUCAAAAUCAAGGUUAGGUGAAGACAUAAAGGGCGAGAUGAGAUCUACUAGAAACUUUUGCUUGAUACAACACCGAGAUACAGAUAUGAUUCUGCAAGAAAAGAACUACAUGAAACCCACUCAUCGGCUCUUUUAAUGCAUUUUUCCGAACAUAUUUAUGUGCUCCAGAGUUGUAAGUGCGUAUAAGAGUUGUAAGUGCGUAUAUAAGUCUGGACUUGAAUGACCAAGCAGACGCCAAGUCACUACUAGACGCCAGACAAGGAACUACUAACCGCCUUUUCCCUCGGUUCACGACCUGAGUGGACAAAGAAGACCAUUGAUUGACUAUUGUUUAUCGAGAAAGAAAUGUAUGCACGCUGAGAUCCCCGUAAGCUUGUGAAGCACUGAAUGAUACUCUUAGUUAGAUGGAAUUUCAUCCACUCGAGGGGGAUAAUUUCAUUGUAUACAAUAAGCUUGAUGCCUGAGAAAUAGCAAGGAGCUAGUCCUUUUGGCUAUGCCUUUUUCUUUCUUCGUCCAGAAGUUCCUGGUUUUGCAAAGCCUGCUGUCAUUUGAGCUGCUCCUACGCCCUAAGUCAAAGAAAAGAGAGAGGAGAGAGAGGUACCGACGCAAGACGGGCAGACCUCAAAGGAUCCUCCAGAGGGAACAGAAUUGUUUCAUAGAAGAUACUUACUGACAUCUCAAGGAAUGAAUGGAAGAGAGCUGCGGUAGGAAUGAAUGGAAGAGAGUAAGGUGGCAUGUGGGAAGAGAGUAAGGUGGCAUGUGUUGUUAAUCCAUUUUGGCAGGAUGUAUAUUAGAAUGAAAUGCAGUUUAGAGUUAGCUGUUAACAAUCAGAUCUUAUAGGCGCUAAGAGAAGAGAGAGAAAAAGCAACGAAAAAGAGAAUGAAAGUAUAGCGUUAGUGAGUGGAGCCUAAGGAACUAUACGACAACGACAAUAAGAAUGAGACUCGGUAACAAAGCUAAACAAGCACCUCGAAACAAUAAGAGGAGAUUCGGUAACAAAGCGAAACUCAAAGAACUCCGCGAAACUAGAAGAAUUAGAUUCGGUAACAAAGCGAAACUCAAAGAACUCCGAAACUAGAAGUUGAUACAUGCGCGCCCUUACCCCGGAGAGUAAUAUGUGAAUAAGCAGGUUGUUUAUACAAUUCGAUAACAGGUGCAUUCAAUUCAAGUUGACAGAGCACUCGCCUGUCCUUUGUUGCGCUCCAAGUUAAGUCUAAAGUAGAGUUGCCUGUUGCAAGAGAAGUCAGAGAGUCGCCUGUUGCAAGAGAAGUAAGAAGUAGAGUAUAAAGUAUGGUUUUUCAACCUCUUGUUAGUGCUGGAUAAGUCUCGUAUUAAGUAUGGUUUUUCAACCUCUUGUUAAUGCAAGAGAUAUGGAGUAUAAAGUGGAGUAGCCUCUGGAGUAAGUAAUAGAAAGGGUGCCUCAUCAAUUCAAUGGUUAGGGAAAGGAAGAACUUAGUUUUGAAGCAAAAGGGCAUUGAACUCGCUAACGCUAAAAACAGGAUUGGAUUCUUCCCUUCUGCCCUGAACCAACAAGCAAGUAAGUCAACCACAAUAACUAGUAUGUAAACCAGCCUAUCUCUUAACUAGGCAAAACUACACCCCUCAACUUACAAAUAAGGGCACAAGAACAGAAAUGGAGCCAAACAUCUUUAACAAGAACAUCUGGAUCUGCCCUUGACUAUUAUAAUUGGGAAAGUGAACUACUCUUAAAGUCGAGCCUCUCUCUACUCUGGCAACAAUGCAUUUCACCCUGCUUGCGUCUACUGAUCUGGUUGACUUCACUCUAACUGCUGCUGACAGUAGUCUCCACUCAAUGUAACAACUGCCAAUUAAGUACUAUGGCCCAAUUCUAUGAUACCCUCGGGCUCUCAUUAAACUCUGGCAACAAAAACUAUGUCUCUCAAAAUGAAAUGAAAUCAUGCUUUCUUGCUCUAGCAGGGUUUCUUGCUCUAGCCCUUCAUUCCUAUACCAGUAGCUUGCCCCCUUGUUUCAUCUUAUUCUUCUAAAGAUAAAGAAGUUGUUUCAAGAGCAGGUGAGGAAAGGAGAGUUCUGGUUUUGUCUCCGAGAUCAUCAGCAGUAUCAAGUUGAGUUCUUGUAGAGGUGGUAAAAAGGAAUCAGAAUAAUCUUAAGAAUCAGAAGAAGCUAUUCGAAAGGAAGCAGCAAGUAGAGAGUCAGAAAAACUUAGAAGCGAUAUGUGCACUUCCACCAGCGCAGGAGCAAGCCAAUCACCUUAACCUGACCUUCGAACUAAUCCGGAUCUAUCUUAUAAUCUAGAACUACACUUUCCUUCUUAACCGAAAGAUGAAACUACAACCGACCCCGACUCUCAUUGCAAAGCAUCUUAGUCUGCUGGAACUUGGGAACUUGCUUCAAAACUCACUCCUAGCACCCAGAAACUAGAAAGUCAGAAAAGAAUGCAACUGUUAACUUACAUAGAAGAGAGUAACCAACUAGAGCAUGAAAGUAGACAAGCAACAGUACUAGAGCAACAAACCCAGGGAUCGGAGCGCCUUCGCCCCGCAUCUAAGAGAGAAGUUGACUUAACGCCCAAACUCACGUAUCAAAUGAAAUGAGAAUAACUAUUGUACUUUUUAGAUAAAAAGAGAAUAACGAGAGCUGCUUUUGGCUCUAAUUACACUAAGCAAAAAAUCAGUGGAAUUACUAUAAUCAAACUACUGGCUCUGCUCUAACUGCUGACCUUGCCUCUCGCUUCCCUUUCUUCUUAUUAAGUACACUGCUUCCCUUGAUGGACGCACACAGGACGUUGUUCACUACUACUGCCCAUUCGGUUCCUAUAACUUCAUUCUUAAACCACAUAGCAAGUAGGCUAGCCACUACUGAAAAGCAGAAUUGCAUCGGUUUCAAGAUCUGACUUAGUUUCAAGAGCAGAUAGAUGCCGAAGCGGGAAUAUCCGUUUUCUCAGAAGCAACAACUGGUGGAUCUGGCCCAGCUAUAACAGCUUACCUUUGACUUGCCCCAACACAUUCCCCAUCUUGCUCUGCCCCCCCCAACGAAAGGCUGUUGAAAUUCAUUCAUUAUUAAUAACAUUUUCUUUGACCGGGAUGCACUAUCUUAAACAAGCAAGCAAAGAAUAUCCUUCCCAUCUUGCUACCAAUAUAGGUGCGGAAACUUCACUGCUUACGGAAACUCACGUUAGAGCACUUGUUCGAACUUAACUUUAAGCGCGUCACUAAUGGAAUUCGCUAACGCCGAAAACGGUUAACUUGCUUAUUUAUUACUGUUACUAAUGCCGACUCAGAUAGGAAUUCGACUAACUUGCUUGCUGAACUCACCAACUAGAAAUAUUUCCAGCGCCGAGGAAAACUAAGCUCAGAAUUAAUUGAACAUUGAUUACUGAUGUGCAUAUAAUAGAUGAAUGUCAUAAAGCUGCUCAUCUCGCAGAUAAUAGAUAUGAAUGUUACAGCUGCAUUGCUUCCUUUCCUUUUUUUAGCACCCCGAGAAUCAUCCAACGCACCAUUCACUAACGCCAGGUUGCUUCUCUUGGCGCCGCUCCAUGCUUUCCCUUAACCUUUUCAUGUUCAAUAUUACUGGGAAAUCCAAAGUAUUAGUAUUUGGGGAUCUAUUUUCUUAUUGUUUCAGGAGCACAAGCAACGUUGUUCCUAAGUGCUUGUUGAGUUCUUUAGUUCGCUAACGCUAUUCAUUGUUUCAGGGGCGAUAUAACUAUUUAUUGUGUUUCAGGGUGCUGAUCUGAUAUGAUUAACUUAAAUGCUCUCUUUUGAAAAUCCAUAAAUGUAUUUGGAUUCUAUUAGUGUAGUUGUUAGUCUCAACAAUUCUUUUCUUUUGAGUAGAGGAGAGAGAGCGGCUUAUUAGUUAGUGGUGAUUUGAAGUUUCGUAGUGUUGUUACUUUCAUUAUAUCACAUAGGCCAGAUAGGCUCAAAAGAGAGGUUUUCCCUAGUUCAACAAGUCAACUGUGAGUAAGCUGUGUUGUUAUUGAAUUCUAUCAUAUGCCAAAGAUAGGCUAAAGAAAGAGGCAUGUAUGCUUUCUUCCCCUAAUGCCAGAUAACAAAGAGGUUUUCCCUAGUUACGAAGAUAGCUCCAUUCUAUUAAUUAAAGCAAGGGAACCAUCAAGACGUUCUUCAAGUUUUGUUUAAGUGCUCUAGUAUUAGUAUAGUGAACUUUGGAACUCACUACAACUGUUGCUACUAGAUUAUUGCCCCAACUCAACCAACUUUCUUUCAACCUACCUAAGAGCUGACAGUUUCGAUUCUUGCGCCGAGCUAUCAUAGCAUAUAAGAUCUUAUUCAUAUUAAAAGUAUCUGAAAAACCCCUAUAGAUAUAUUAUUAGCUUUUGCCGACCCCUUCUGGAAGUGAGGAACCUUGUUUGUUUGGCACUGCGGAUUCAGCCAUACUUUCCCCUUUACUAGUUUGAUUACGGACUUCUUCUUCCCAACAUAGCUAGUUAUUAGUAAGUGUCGCUACACCUUUUCUAGUUCGGGGGCUUAAUGAUGGAUUUGCCAUAAGAGUCAUAUUGAACAUAGGCAUACGGGUUUAAGCGAUGCAAAAAGGCAACUAUCGGGAGGGGGUGCUUGAACGCCGUUACCUCCAACACUUGCUCACUCUGUUACUCCUUACUAAACCACUCCAGUUAGCACCGAACUUAUCUAAUGACCCUAAAUUCUAUACUCAAUCAACUUGUUCUGCUUUUGUCGUCGCUUGCUGCUUCCUUUCGAACUCUACAAACUCAGACUUGUUCCAUUGCUUCCUCACUCCUAACUCUAAACGGGAAUCUAUCAGCUAGGCAACCCCUAUCCCUAUUUCAAAGAACAUGCGAUUUGUGCACCGCUAUCCAUCCCCACUUAAGAACUCAGCUCAGCUAGGCACCGCUAUCCAUAACAAACUUAAUGAAAACUGUUCAAUUCCAAAUAACAACUAUCCAUAACUAACAACACUGUGAAACUACAAUUCACCACUAAUGAACUCCGAACCAUAAGCCUUUGUUAGCGCCAUGGCCCUGAGACGAGACUGACUCCUUAUUUGAAACAACGAUCAGCAACCGGCAGUGCUGUAAUGUAAAGUAAAGGAUAGGACUAACCAAUGGACAACAUCCUAUUUUGGAACAUCUUGAAGCUAAUUUCUAACACGAGUUUUGUUUUGUUUAUAAAGCCUAAGUCAGCAGGGCAGUAAGCAGUUUCGUUUUGUUGGAUGGAGCAUAGAGAGCAAGUAAUGGCGAAAGCCUAAGUAAGUGCUUAGGGGAGUGAAGUUACUACAGUCAGGUUACUCCUCUGCCUAAGGGCUAAUGCGAGUUACUACAGUCAGGUUACUAUCCUUUUUCUACAAAUAAGUUAUGUGCACUAGAUUCAACAAGCGAAUUCUACAGUUAUAUGCUCUUAUAGAGAGAUAGAAUAGAUGAUUAAUAUGACCCUAACAGUUGUUGCAAGAGAAGCUGUAUCCGGUUUAGUAGAAAGUAUUGUAUCGGGGGCAAGCUACGUAUAGACUGAACCCUGACUUAAGGCAGAAGCGGAAGAACCACUUACUGCUUAUUGAAGUGAAAGAACCACUAGAAUCAUUAAGUCCAAUAGCAUCAACUAAGGACUCAACAAUAGCUCCGUAAGCGCCAAGCACCAUUUCAUUCGAAUAAGUAAAGACUCUCGUAGCUCUGGAGACAAUAUAGCCUUCCAGUGACGGAGCAAGCAAUCCGAUAAGAUAAGGAAGGGAUAAGGCAACAAGCAACGUGAAACUCGGCUGAAACUGCAAGUCAAACAAACAGAAUUGCAUUUCAUGUUGACCCGCUUGUAGCUUACUUUGGCACCUCUGAUUCUUGAGUGAACUUUCCUGCCUCAGAUCCAUACUGGGAAUCUAUUUCUGAUUCUCGAAUUACUUAUGUUAUUGCAGCUGACUUACUUGCGCACUAAACAUCACUUUAGGAACCUGAACCACUACUUUAAGCGUUGUACCCGGCUUCCUUACCUGCUCUUAAAACUUCCACUAAUGAUUCAUUCCCAUCGCCAAUACUAAGGGGCUGGAAACCAAACUAGUAACUACUAAACUAGCAACUACUUAAGACUUUACCACAAGACAUAAUUGACUACUUGCUGAAUGAGGCUCAUCUAACUCAGGAGUCAAAGAAAGGCCAAGCAAAGGCGCGCCAAGCAACGACUAACUCUUUCACUCCUUUACUAAUUUACUUACCUCAAAACAGCUAAUGAAUUAAGUCUGACUCUUAUCCUUCUUUCUCUUACUCUUAUCCUUCUCCAGCUUCUAAGUAAUACUCUUAUCCUUCUCAUCCUUCUGAUGAUACUUAUCCAGUUUGCUUCUUCAAUGGGCACCGAGUCUGGGCCAGAUCUAGCUUAUGAUCUUUAUUCAGCUGAUUACUUUAUAACAGGCAAUUAUCCAAGUUCACCUUCCGGAAAAGAAUUCAUUGAUUAUUGAGCACCGGGCUCCUGCCGUUUUGAACUAUCUACCGCCGAACACAGGACUUUACAUAACAUGCCGCAAGCUAUUACCAUCGCUCGAAAUUAGGACUCCAUAACUGAACCUCUAUCGUCACCAACACAGGCACCCGCCAAUACUAGGCUAAACGGGACCCAUACGAGGCACCCCAGUGGACGCAACUUAGUAUUCAACCACAGGCGCUCCCCCAAUAGGCACAACUCAGUACUUAAUGUUGCUUCUCUCUUGAUAGUCUUCAUCCCUUAGUUUCAUCCGUUCUCCUAUAAUAUAAUAUAAUAGAAAUAGAUAGGGACCAAGCGUAUACUAGUUGUUGAGUCAAGUCAAACUCUAUUUAGAAUCUAUUUUAGGAAUAGCCCCCUUAUAUAAGUAUUGAAUAGAGGCACCCUUUGUUGAACAAAUCUCUCCCCUCAUAGUCGUUUUUAUAAGUAAGAGUUGACCUCGCUCUCGCUAACCUGGUGCUAUCAAUUCUGCAAUUCUUACAGGCAAUGGUGAGGAAUAAAGGGAAGAAAGAUAAUCGUAUAAAGUAAGCAGGGACAGAAAGAGACUCGUCUCCAACAACAAGAACAAGAGCUGGGCUACCGGGGUUUACAUCGCCAAGUGUAGUUCUCUGAUCUUCAGAGCUCAAAUCAAUUCCAUUCCUGUGCCCCUAAGUGAUUGGUGUCCUGGGUAGAGCAACUGUAACUGUCUUACAUCCUCUGUGCUAAGGGAGUUGGGCCAUAGUACAUAAUUGCUAGCGCAUCUAGUAUCUAAUGAAUGGAAGGCCCUAAUACAUAAUUGGUAGCGCAUUACCCUUCCACUCUGAUAGGUCGGCAAGGGAAGAAAGAUCUGAUUGCACUCCGCCGCAACAAGGCAUCUAAGGCAACUCAAUGGAAUUUGUUUACUCGGUCUCAGGGAAGGGAAUAGAUUUACCAGACUCCACUCGGGAUUUCACUCUUACUUUAACUUGAC